RNAcentral lists this ribosomal RNA (329 nucleotides) under uncultured eukaryote. RNAcentral describes it as "partial 18S ribosomal RNA". It matches the Rfam family "Eukaryotic small subunit ribosomal RNA", at positions 1470 to 1796 of the family's 1831-position model. The record is from RNAcentral.
CCCUUAGAUGUUCUGGGCCGCACGCGCGCUACACUGACGGAGGCAGCGAGCGUGUCCUUCGCCGGCAGGUGCGGGCAAUCUUGCGAGUCUCCGUCGUGCUGGGGAUAGAUGGUUGCAAUUGUCGAUCUUGAACGAGGAAUUCCUAGUAAGCGCGAGUCAUCAGCUCGCGCUGAUUACGUCCCUGCCCUUUGUACACACCGCCCGUCGCUACUACAGAGUGCCCGUGUCCAAGAAACGGUCGGACCUGUGCGGCCUCUCCGGGCGACCGGAGGGCCGUUACGGGGAAGACCCUUUAUUUGACGCGGGUCGAUGAAGCAAAAGUCGUAACA